This 2261-nucleotide long non-coding RNA is filed under the name Lathyrus oleraceus (garden pea). RNAcentral describes it as "Pisum sativum (pea) long non-coding RNA (PSAT_LNC030141)". The record is from RNAcentral. Lineage: Eukaryota; Viridiplantae; Streptophyta; Magnoliopsida; Fabales; Fabaceae.
UUCAACUAGUGGAUGAAUUAGAGAAGGAGAUUAAUCAUGUUUUAAGGUUUGUACAUCAACAUUCUAAUCAAAAUUAAGAGCAUAGGAAGUUAAGCUAACUUUUAAGGGCAAAAAAAAUCAUCAUGAAAAACAUUUAAAAUAAAAAACACAAUACAAUUGGUAAAAAAGACAUACAUGGUUAAUUUAAAAGGCAACAAUUUAGCAAGUGAUGAUAAAAAAAUUAGAUAUAAGAAAAGUAAUUGAUGAGAAAUGAAAGGGGUUGGUUACAAUAUUAGAUCCCCAAUGGUGCAACAAGUUAAAUUUAAAUCUAUCUAUUCCUAUAACGCAACACCACACAACAAUUGUAUAUGAGACAUUCUCUACAAAUGAUUGUUUUUAACCAAGAAGAAAAUCAGGCAGAGUAAACACAAAAUGUUUGGUAGAUUCAUCAUCAACAGGACUAAAGAAAAUAUAAACAUGUGACCCAUCUAUGAUCCCACAAUCAACAAGAGAUUUCUUUUCACAUCUUUACUAAUCAACGGCCAACAAGCAUCAUCGAGAAUAAUGAUCAAACGGUCACAAGGGAGUUUCAUAUGUGCUUCAAUUUCUCUUUUUAGAUCUUCAACCGUCGCAUCAUUCUCUACUUCGACAAGAAUAAUUUUCCUGUAGAUUCUCUACAACAAUCUUCAUGGUAUCGAACGACAACAAAAACUAGUGAUUUAGUAGUUUUCAUUUUAGCAAUGUUUUGGUUUGAAACUAAAAAGGAAUGAUAAUGAAUUUUAGAUUUGGAGUUGCACACAAAUGGGAUGAAAGUGUUGUUCUGUUCAUGUGGGCUGCAUUCUCGGGAGUUGUUUGUGCGUAUUGAUUGAAUGCGUAUACUAAAUUUAGUAUUACUAAAAUUCUUUAUAUUGUGAUUAUUAUACUAGCUUUUAAUUUUUUUAAACUUAGACAUAAAAUGGACGUUUUCUUGAAAUAAGUUUGAAUACGCUUUUCUCUCCUUUAUAAUUCAUUUACUAAAAAAAAUCUAUUCAAUCUAUCUAAUUCAUCCAUUAUGUAAUGUGGCAUCAUCGUGGAAACAAAACCAAUGAAGGGAAAACAUUAAGAUCGAAAAAUCACAAACAUGAGAAUGAGAACAUGAUUUUUCUCGAAAAAGAAAAAAAGAAAAGGCAAUAAUAGAUACAAAGAAUCAUAAAAAUGAAAAUGAAAAUUGAUAAAUUGAAUAUUCUCGAGAAUUUCUUCAAGGUGGAUACCAAAUUUUCUCUGAUACUAUAUGUUAUGAAAUAUGACAUAUAGAAAGAAAGAGAAGAAAUGCUUAAAGUUUUUUAUAUUGAUCCAAAUAAAAUAUUGAAAAUACACUCCUUCUAUGAAAUUAUUACAAUUAUACAUAUGCACGGCUAUUAAGCACAAGUUACUACUAUCUCCAUACAAUUCAACUAGUGGGAAUUAGAGAAGGAGAUUAAUCAUGUUUUAAGGUUUGUACAUCACAUUCUAAUUCUAAAAUUAAGAGCAUAGGAAGUUAAGACUAACUUGUUAAGGGCAAAAAAAAUCAUCAUGAAAACAAUUUAAAUAUUAAAAACACAAUACAAUUGGUAAAAAAGACAUACAUGGUUAAUUAAAAGGCAACAAUUUAGCAAGUGAUGUAUAAAAAAUUAGAUAUAAGAAAUAGUAAUUGAUGAGAAAUGAAAGGGGUUGGUUACAAUAUUAGAUCCCCAAUGGUGCAACAAGUUAAAUUUAAAUCUAUCUAUUCCUAUAACGCAACACCACACAACAAUUGUAUAUGAGACAUUCUCUACAAAUGAUUGUUUUUAACCAAGAAGAAAAUCAGGCAGAGUAAACACAAAAUGUUUGGUAGAUUCAUCAUCAACAGGACUAAAGAAAAUAUAAACAUGUGACCCAUCUAUGAUCCCACAAUCAACAAGAGAUUUCUUUUCAUCAUCUUUACUAAUCAACGGCCAACAAGCAUCAUCGAGAAUAAUGAUCAAACGGUCACAAGGAGUUUCAUAUGUGCUUCAAUUUCAAUAAUGUUCCUGUCAGAUUCUCUACAACAAUCUUCAUGGUAUCGAACGACAACAAAAACUAGUGAUUUAGUAGUUUUCAUGUUAGCAAUGUUUUGGUUUGAAACUAAAAAGGAAUGAUAAUGAAUUUUAGAUUUGGAGUUGCACACAAAUGGUGAUGAAAGGUGUUGUUCUGUUCAUGUUGGCUGCAUUUUCGGGAGUUAGUUUGUGUGUAUUGAAUUGAAUGCGUAUACUAAAUUUAGUAUUACUAAAAUUCUUUAUAUUGUG